Molecule: ribosomal RNA, 779 nt
Filed under: Methylobacterium sp. TP2-1
Lineage: Bacteria; Pseudomonadati; Pseudomonadota; Alphaproteobacteria; Hyphomicrobiales; Methylobacteriaceae
Description: bacterial SSU rRNA
Rfam family: Bacterial small subunit ribosomal RNA
Source: RNAcentral
GUANUGCCUUUCGAUAGUUGACGCUUGAGUUUGUUAGAGUUUGUGGUACCUCGAGUUAGAGGUGAAAAUUCGUAGAUAUUUCGCAAGAACACCGGUGGCGAAGGCGGCCAACGUGGACCAUUACUGACGCUGAUGGCGCGAAAGCGUUGGGGGAGCAAACAGGAUUAGAUACCCCUGGUAGUCCACGUCCGUAAAACGAUGAAUGUCCAGCUUUGGGGUGCUUGCACUCGCAGUAGCUGCAGUCUAACGCUUUUGAGCAUUCCGCUCUGGGGAGUACGGUCUCAAGAUUAAAACUCAAAGGAAUUGACGGGGGCCCUGCACAANCGGUGGAGCAUGUGGUUUAAUUCGAAGCAACGCGCAGAACCUUACCAUCCUUUGACAUGGCGUGUUAUCCCAGAGAGAUUUGGGGUCCACUUCGGUGGCGCGCACACAGGUGCUGCAUGGCUGUCGUCAGCUCGUGUCGUGAGAUGUUUGGGUUAAGUCCCGCAACGAGCGCAACCCACGUCCUUAGUUGCCAUCAUUCAGCUUGGGCACUCUAGGGAGACUGCCGGUGAUAAGCCGCGAGGAAGGUGUGGAUGACGUCAAGUCUCUCAUGGCCCUUACGGUGAUGGGCUACACACGUGCUACAAUGGCGGUGACAGUGGGACGCGAAGGAGCGAUCUGGAGCAAAUCCCCAAAAGCCGUCUCAGUUCGGAUUGCACUCUGCAACCUCGACGUGCAUGAACGGCGGAAUCGCAACGUAAUNCGUAGUAUCGAUGCUACUGCGCUCCAAGCUGCAG